This 99-nucleotide signal recognition particle RNA is filed under the name Poseidonocella sedimentorum. RNAcentral describes it as "Bacterial small signal recognition particle RNA". It matches the Rfam family "Bacterial small signal recognition particle RNA". Rfam says of the family: The signal recognition particle (SRP) is a universally conserved ribonucleoprotein involved in the co-translational targeting of proteins to membranes. Archaeal SRP consists of a 7S RNA and homologues of the eukaryotic SRP19 and SRP54 proteins. In most bacteria, the SRP consists of a 4.5S RNA and the Ffh protein (a homologue of the eukaryotic SRP54 protein). The record is from RNAcentral. Lineage: Bacteria; Pseudomonadati; Pseudomonadota; Alphaproteobacteria; Rhodobacterales; Roseobacteraceae.
UGAGAGGUUGGUGCGGGCGAGCGCUCCGCCAACCCGGUCAGAUCCGGAAGGAAGCAGCCGUAACGGUUCCCGCUUGGGUCGUUAUCCAGCCUCUCACCU